Molecule: ribosomal RNA, 617 nt
Filed under: uncultured bacterium
Lineage: Bacteria
Description: bacterial SSU rRNA
Rfam family: Bacterial small subunit ribosomal RNA (bases 1-525)
Source: RNAcentral
CCUACGGGAGGCAGCAGUGGGGAAUAUUGCACAAUGGGCGCAAGCCUGAUGCAGCGACGCCGCGUGAGGGAUGACGGCCUUCGGGUUGUAAACCUCUUUCAGUAGGGAAGAAGCGAAAGUGACGGUACCUGCAGAAGAAGCGCCGGCUAACUACGUGCCAGCAGCCGCGGUAAUACGUAGGGCGCAAGCGUUAUCCGGAAUUAUUGGGCGUAAAGAGCUCGUAGGCGGUUUGUCGCGUCUGCCGUGAAAGUCCGGGGCUCAACUCCGGAUCUGCGGUGGGUACGGGCAGACUAGAGUGAUGUAGGGGAGACUGGAAUUCCUGGUGUAGCGGUGAAAUGCGCAGAUAUCAGGAGGAACACCGAUGGCGAAGGCAGGUCUCUGGGCAUUAACUGACGCUGAGGAGCGAAAGCAUGGGGAGCGAACAGGAUUAGAUACCCUGGUAGUCCAUGCCGUAACGUUAGGUCGACUAGUGGUGGGUACGACUUCCUACGUUUCCGUCGCCGUACGCUACGCAUAGUGCCCGCCGUCGGGAGGUACGGCCGCGACGACGUAAACCGUACGAACGGAAGUUAGUACGGCGUGAGACGUCGCCGACGGACGACCGACGAGGGAGGAGG